GGAGUUGUAGCUCAGUGGUAGAGUGCUUAACUUGCAUGCAUGAAGCACUGAGUUCGCUCCUCAGCACCA
RNAcentral lists this transfer RNA (69 nucleotides) under Marmota monax (woodchuck). Its description in RNAcentral is "tRNA.Ala". The record is from RNAcentral. Lineage: Eukaryota; Metazoa; Chordata; Mammalia; Rodentia; Sciuridae.